RNAcentral lists this ribosomal RNA (372 nucleotides) under uncultured Glomeromycotina. RNAcentral's name for it is "LSU rRNA". Lineage: Eukaryota; Fungi; Glomeromycota. The record is from RNAcentral.
UUGAAAGGGAAACGAUUGAAGUCAGUCGUACCGGCGGGUAAUCAGCCUUUUGGGUGUGAUUAUGUGGAGCGUGAGGAGCUAAUCGCCUUCAUCUUUGCAUAUUCGUGCACUUUGGGUGUACUUGCUCGUGUGGUAGGUUAACAUCAAUUUUGAUCAUCAUAAAAUGAUUGAAGGAAUGUAGCUUCGAUCUCGUAUUGAAGUGUUAUAGCCUUUGGUAGAUGUGAUGAUCGGGAUUGAGGAUUGCAACGGAUACCCUUCGGGGCUACCCGUCUGAUCUCUGGAAGUUGCUCUGGUGCUGAAAGCUUGCUUAUGGUAUCAAAGUUGACGUUCAAUAGGUUAGAACGGGAUAAAUUCGUUAAGGAUGUUGACGUA